This is an unclassified non-coding RNA of Papio anubis (olive baboon), 148 nucleotides long. It matches the Rfam family "Metazoan signal recognition particle RNA". From Rfam's summary of the family: The signal recognition particle (SRP) is a universally conserved ribonucleoprotein. It is involved in the co-translational targeting of proteins to membranes. The record is from Ensembl. Lineage: Eukaryota; Metazoa; Chordata; Mammalia; Primates; Cercopithecidae.
GCUGGGUGUGGUGGUGUGUGCCUGUGUUCCCAGCUUCUCAGGAGGCUGAGGUGAGAGGAUUGCUUGAGCCUGGGAGGCACGGGUUGCAGUGAGCUGAGAUCAUGCCACUGCACUCCGGCCUGGGUGAUAGAGUGAGACCCCAUCUCUA